GAUGAACGCUGGCGGCGUGCCUAACACAUGCAAGUCGAACGAAGCACUUUAAAUAGAUUUCUUCGGAAUGAAGUUUUUUGUGACUUAGUGGCGGACGGGUGAGUAACGCGUGGGUAACCUGCCCAGUACUGGGGGACAACAGUUGGAAACGACUGCUAAUACCGCAUAAGCCUACGGUGUCGCAUGAAGCAGUAGGAAAAAUUCCGGUGGUACUGGAUGGGCCCGCGCCUGAUUAGCUAGUUGGUAAGGUAAUGGCUUACCAAGGCGACGAUCAGUAGCCGGCUUGAGAGAGUGAACGGCCACAUUGGGACUGAGACACGGCCCAAACUCCUACGGGAGGCAGCAGUGGGGGAUAUUGCACAAUGGGGGAAACCCUGAUGCAGCAACGCCGCGUGAGUGAAGAAGUAUUUCGGUAUGUAAAGCUCUAUCAGCAGGGAAGAUAAUGACGGUACCUGACUAAGAAGCACCGGCUAAAUACGUGCCAGCAGCCGCCGUAA
Molecule: ribosomal RNA, 497 nt
Filed under: uncultured bacterium
Lineage: Bacteria
Description: partial 16S ribosomal RNA
Rfam family: Bacterial small subunit ribosomal RNA
Source: RNAcentral